GACGAACGCUGGCGGCGUGCUUAACACAUGCAAGUCGAACGGAAAGGCCUCUUUCGGGGGGUACUCGAGUGGCGAACGGGUGAGUAACACGUGAGUAACCUGCCCUUGACUUUGGGAUAACUUCAGGAAACUGGGGCUAAUACCGGAUAGGAGCUCCUGCUGCAUGGUGGGGGUUGGAAAGUUUCGGCGGUUGGGGAUGGACUCGCGGCUUAUCAGCUUGUUGGUGGGGUAGUGGCUUACCAAGGCUUUGACGGGUAGCCGGCCUGAGAGGGUGACCGGCCACAUUGGGACUGGGAUACGGCCCAGACUCCUACGGGAGGCAGCAGGGGGGAAUAUUGCACAAUGGGUGGAAGCCUGAUGCAGCAACGCCGUGUGCGGGAUGACGGCCUUCGGGUUGUAAACCGCUUUCGCUCAUGACGAAGCUUUGUGUGACGGUAGUGGGUAAAGAAGCACCGGCUAACUACGUG
Molecule: ribosomal RNA, 467 nt
Filed under: uncultured bacterium
Lineage: Bacteria
Description: partial 16S ribosomal RNA
Rfam family: Bacterial small subunit ribosomal RNA
Source: RNAcentral